RNAcentral lists this ribosomal RNA (331 nucleotides) under uncultured bacterium. RNAcentral describes it as "bacterial SSU rRNA". It matches the Rfam family "Bacterial small subunit ribosomal RNA", at positions 471 to 793 of the family's 1533-position model. The record is from RNAcentral.
GACGUUACCUACAGAAGAAGCACCGGCUAACUCCGUGCCAGCAGCCGCGGUAAUACGGAGGGUGCGAGCGUUAAUCGGAAUUACUGGGCGUAAAGCGCAUGCAGGCGGCCUGUUAAGUCAGAUGUGAAAGACCCGGGGCGUUAACCUACGGAAUUGCAUUUGUAAACUAGGCGAGGCUAGAGUCUUGUAGAGGGGGGUAGGAAUUUCAGGUGUAGCGGUGAAAUGCGUAGAGAUCUGAAGGAAUACCAGUGGCGAAGGCGGCCCCCUCGGACAAAGACUGACGCUCAGAUGCGAAAGCGUGGGGAGCAAACAGGAUUAGAUACCCUGGUAG